UACACUCCUACGGGAGGCAGCAGUGAGGAAUAUUGGACAAUGGGUGGAAGCCUGAUCCAGCCAUCCCGCGUGCAGGAAGACGGCCCUAUGGGUUGUAAACUGCUUUUAUCUGGGGAUAAACCUACUUACGUGUAAGUAGCUGAAGGUACCAGAAGAAUAAGCACCGGCUAACUCCGUGCCAGCAGCCGCGGUAAUACGGAGGGUGCAAGCGUUAUCCGGAUUUAUUGGGUUUAAAGGGUCCGUAGGCGGACUGAUAAGUCAGUGGUGAAAUCCGACAGCUUAACUGUCGAACUGCCAUUGAUACUGUUAGUCUUGAGUAAGGUUGAAGUGGCUGGAAUAAGUAGUGUAGCGGUGAAAUGCAUAGAUAUUACUUAGAACACCAAUUGCGAAGGCAGGUCACUAAGUCUUAACUGACGCUGAUGGACGAAAGCGUGGGGAGCGAACACGAUUAGAUACCCCAGUAGUCC
This 467-nucleotide ribosomal RNA is filed under the name uncultured organism. RNAcentral's name for it is "partial 16S ribosomal RNA". It matches the Rfam family "Bacterial small subunit ribosomal RNA", at positions 332 to 796 of the family's 1533-position model. The record is from RNAcentral.